This 15774-nucleotide long non-coding RNA is filed under the name Heterocephalus glaber (naked mole-rat). Its description in RNAcentral is "lncRNA (ENSHGLG00100040206.1)". The record is from RNAcentral. Lineage: Eukaryota; Metazoa; Chordata; Mammalia; Rodentia; Bathyergidae.
AAGCCCAGAGCCAUCUCUGAACAUGGAAGCCAGACAGAAACAGCUCCCACUUGACAAGUCCAGGAGAGAAUUUAGGAAAGCAGUUCUUAGUACAGCGGGACAUAGACUUGGGUAAGGACCAGCGUUCAACAAGGAGUGACUGGAAAAAAGUGUUCAGUGUUUUAAACAUUGCCAAUCGGAGUAACAUGAAGCUGAACUUGUUAUUUUAGCUGAGCUCUACAUAGUUUUCAUCCUGGAAUUGACUACUAUAUAUAGUAGAGUGUUAUUCAUGCACUUGAACUGAUUAUGUGUGUCGGACUGAAAUGUCCCAGUGGUGCCACAAAGGAAAAGAACAUGGUAAUCUUCCGUGGAUUCCGUUUUCCAGAUGCACAGCAGCAGAAGACCCACUGAGAUCAGCCACGGACUAAGGAUCUCACUACGUAGUCCAGCCUGGCCUUGAACUCAUGAUGAUCUUCCUACCUCAGCCUCCCGAGACCUGGGAUUACAUGUGUGUAUCACCACUACCAGCAUCAACCUAUGAAUAUUAAACAAAGUACUUGACUCCUGAGCUUCCACUUUGAUGAUAGUGAUUGGUUGGGAGAUGGGCAUGUGACACAAAACAGGCCAAUCAAAGCCCCUAAAACUCAGUUCUGGUUCUUUUACUGGUGCAAUUAGAAAAGUGGCUCUUUCUUCUGUAGUCGCUCCUUAGGACCCUGGAAGCAUGUAGUUGCCAGGAACUACCGGCAGAGCCUAUGAACAGAACCAACUCUGAAGAAGUUGGGCUGAUGACGGGAUUCUAGCAUUUAAUUCCUAGUUUAAUUCUUGAAUCAACCUAUGCCUGGCAUAUAGGUGUGGGCUUUUCAGUUUACCUUCCUCAACCAAUUCCCAUUUUUGCUUAAAUCAGUCUGGGCUGAAUUUCCCGACCCCUGACUCAGACACAGGCAAAGCCUGUAAAAACUUCCAUUCUUGCUGGGGAUUUAGCUCAGUGGUUUCACCGCCUGCUGCUCAAGCGCAAGGACCCGAGUUCGAUCCCGGUACCAAAAAACAAACAAAUUUCCAUUCUUGAAGGUUAUUUGUUGUUGUUGUUUUUACCCUCAUAUUCACGUUUAUGUUUUGGUGGUACUGGGGAUUGAACCCAAGGCCUUUGCAGUUAGCUACAUCCCCAAACCCCUGGCUUCUUCUUUUGAGAAAGUGUUCCACAAAGUUGCCCAGACUGGGCUCAAGCCCAGCACCCCCCUGACUCAACCCCCCAGAGUGCUGGGACUACAGGCAUGCACCACCGCACCCAGCUGCACAUUUCUUACUUAGAUCCCCUUAGGUGGAGGCAUAUAUCUUUCCAUUUAUUCUAGAAUCUCUUCCUCUCUUCUGUUGUGGGCUAUGCCUCCAUCAUCUGUACAUGUGGUGGCAUGACUGACCCUUGUAGGCCUCUGUGAUUGGAGCCCCUGCUUUGUAUUCAAGUACCAGCACAGCAAGAGGAGAGGGAAAGUCGGAGACCAGAACAAGUAUUUAUUGAUUUCCUCAGAAAGGAGAGCUGAGCACAACCUGGUCGAUCACCUCAGAGACUCAGCAUUAUGAAUUGCUCCUGCAGAGUCAUUUUUAUACAAGACGAGGUAGCCCUGUACCUGGGCGGGACUAAUCUGGGUUGUAGCUUGAAGGACAUGUUCUGCAAAGGUCUCAGCCAAGGAAGGUGCUUGUCCCGGGUAGAACCUCUGGUAGAUUGGGGUUGUACGGGGCUGGUGAAGAAACUGGCAUGAGGAACUGCCAGAAAAGGCCUGGAGAUAGUUUAGAGACCCCAAGCUACUGAUCUUGGGAGUACUUUUUACUUAAUUUCAUUAUGUAUUUCAUGAUUCGAAAGUCAAAACUAAAUAGAAGCUAGGUGCAGUAGGGCAUCCUAGCUACUCAGGAUGCUGAAGCAGGAGGAUCUCAAGUUUGAGACCAGCCUGGGCAACUUGGCAAGAACCUGUCUCAAGCUAGACAUAGUGGCAUUUGCCUAUCAUCCCAGCAUUUAGGAAGCUGAGGCAGGAGGAUCACCGAAAGUUCCAGGCCAGCUACAUGGUAGGUUCAAGGCCAGCCUGAAGUGUAUAGUAAGGCCCUAUUUAAAAUGAAAAAACAAACAAACAAAAAUAAAUAAAAGGGCUAGGGAUGUAGCUCAGUGGUAGAGCCCUUGCCUAGCAGGCUCAAGGCCCUAGAUUCAAUCCCCAGCACAGAAAAAGAAAAUUAAACACAAAAGCAAAAAACUGAAUAGAAAAGUACACACAACCAAGGAUGGGAUCUGUUUGUUUAUUCUUCCAGGGGCUUUAUGCAAAAAUAAGCAGAUGUGAAUAUAUUUCUAUCUUUCCCUUUUGUUACACAAAAGGUAAGUAGGCUUUGCUUUGAUAUAUAUGCAUUUUAUAUCUUCAAAUGUGUUCAUUCAUAGAGUGCCCUUCCUUGAAAUUCUGUGAUUAUUCCUGGUUGCUUUCUGCAUAAUAUUUCCAGUGGCUCAGAACCUUAUUUAGCAUAUUUUACCACUUCUCUGCACUGUUACCCUGGAGACACCUUGGUUUAAUGCUGGAGAAUCCUCUUUCAUCAGCGUUAGAAAAUUCAAAUCAAGGGGCUAAAAUGUGAGUCUGGCUCAAAACUAGAAAAAAGAGAAACAAACAAAUCUAGGAAAUGUAAUCUAAAUGAUAUUCACAGAGACUGUUGUGGGUGUCAGGGAGAUAGCUAUGAAAAUAGAAGAGUUAAAAGGACUCUAAACUUUUAGACCAGAUAGAGAUUAAUAUUGACAGGUACCCAGAAUAACCCAGAAAGGUAUAAUACAUGAUUUUGAAUAGAUGUCAAAUUUAGUCUUCUUGGUUAGGCAAAAAUCUCUAAUCACAAGAUUCUGUUGACCUGCAUGCUUUUAACACACAAUAUCUUCCAAUCCUUUCAACACAGAGAGGUUUAAACAGGGCUUUGAUGAAGGUUGGCAGCCUCAGUACUCAGACCUGGGAACAUGGGGCAGUUUCACUUGAGGAAUGGGAAAGAGAACAUUUUCACACCAAGUCUACACAGUGGAUGUUCUUUUUUUUUUUCUUAAAAAAAUUACAUUCCAUCUUCAAUAAAAGAGAAAUGGCUAAAAAAUGAAUUUCAGGGAAACAAUCGGUUGAAAAUGAAAGGCAAUCAGAGAUACACCUAUCAUUUCACUGCAGGGAGACUUGAUAAUUCUCUCUCUCUCUCUCUCUCUCUCUCUCUCUCUCUCUCUCUCUCUCUCUCUCUCUCUCUUUUGUUUUUUAAGGCAGGGUCUCCCUUUGUAGUUCAGGCUGGCUCUGAACUCACUAUGUAGCCCAGGCUGGUCUCGAACUCUCAGCAAUCCUCCUACCUCAGCCUCCCAAGUGUUGGGAUUACAGGCGUGCGCCACCACACCCAGCUCAACCUAUUCUCUUAAUCCUCCGGCACGGGGAUGGACCAGGCCCAGUGCUGUGCAUGUACUGACGGCCAACUGAGCAAAACCUACCUGCAGGUGUCCCCUUAAUUCUUUGGGGUAUUGUGCAAGGGUUUCUUAACUGUUCGGUAGAGAAAAACUACUUGAGUUACCACUGAGUCUUAUUUUUCUGGUCAAUUUUUAUUUUUUUGUAUUAUAAAACUACAUAUUUAACCUGCCUGGUGAAGGUUCCUCUGGAUUGGGGAGAUUCUACAUGAGUUACAUAAACACAUUUGCAUUUUUAUGGUUUCCUACAGGCCUUCAUUGAAGUAAACAACCUAAGCAUUUUCUUCUUUUAUCGUCUAAGGAAUUAGUAUUUCUUGCUCACUUCUCCUUUUGAUCUUUGAAAUUCUAAUGGGGGAGUUCAAAGAGUCAUGAGUAAAACAUUUUUGAGUCUUUAAAUAAAUAUAUCUACCAUUGGUGUUUUGCCACGCUACAAAUCCCAAGGAAUAAAUGAAAACUCAAAGCAAACAUACUCAAAGAAAAUAAGCCCUCUAAAAAUACAGUACAGUUUCUGAAAAACACAGCCUUAAUAAUUAAAGAUUAAAGUUUCAUCUUUCUGAUGCUGAAAAUGUAAUAUUUUGUUUGUUGUACAGAUGAUGUUGUAAAUGCAUUUGUUUGUUGUAAAUACUAGGAUUUUAGGAAACAGUGAUUGGACAUACACAGUUUUUCAUUUAAAUAGAUGCUUUAUGCUAUUGCCAAAUUUCAAUAAUUUUAUUCUGUGUGCAAUAAAGCAAUCAAAGAACAUACAUUUUGGAGUUAAUGCUUUUAUUCUAGCAAAACACAUUUUCUGAGGGCUAAUUCAGCAUUAAACUUAUUCCAAUCAUAAAUCCGUAGACACAAAAUGUGAUUUAGCUAAUAGGUUUACACUUGUAAAAUAAAUGAAGAUUCAAUUAAAAGCCACUAGGUUAUGCCUAAGCAUCAGUUAAUUUUUGCCUCAGGGCAUACACUAUUUCUAUAUUAAGUAGUCUAAUAGAAGGCACUUUUACUUUCAAGGUUUUAUUUCUUUACUCACACACCAUGUGUGAAAAAUCCAUUCUUGGCACAACCCAUUAUUCAAUGGGACUUGAUUACUUACAUAUGCUUCUGACGGUUACAAAACCUGCAUUGUGUGGUAUGGAGUGGAUUAGGUUGUAGACUGCAAACAACAGGAAAAGAAGUUGGCUCACGACUUGAAUAGAUCGGCAUAUGUAACCGGAGAACAACAGAGAUUCUCCUUGUCUGUGGCUUUUUUAGAAUGUAGUAAACAUCGCUUCUCGGCCUUUUGGCUAAGAGCAAGUGUAGAAUGUAGUAAACAACUGUCAUUCAGGGAUGGGUCACCAACCAAAAAUGGUAACAAAACAAAAAAUCUUAAGGAAGCUAUGUAGAAGAGAAACUAGUAUAUUAGAUGCGUAACCCAAAGAGAAAAAUACAGAAGAUGAUGAAAUCCGCAAGAACAUUUGGAAAACAGGGCCAGGGAUUUAGCUCAGUGGUUUUGCCUCCUGCUGCGCAAGCGCAAGAACAUUUGGAAAUCAAGAAAUCCGACUUUAGCAGGGGCAGUGGCACAUGCCUGCAAUCCCAGCACUCUGGGAGGCUGAGGCAGGAGGUCCACAGGUCCAAGCCCAGGCUGGACAACUUAGCAACUCAUUGAGACCCUGUCUCAAAAUAAAAUAGAAUUGGGGAUGUAGCUCAGAGAAAAAGCCCUGGGUUUAAUACCCAGUAUGUAACUCUCUCUCUCUCUCUCUCUCUCUCUCUCUCUGGAAAAGAAAUCUGACUUCAUGUAUACUUAUCUAAUACUUCAGAGCUUUGAUUCUAUUAUGAUGCAGACCUAAAGAUCAGUGGAUUCAAAAACAAGAACAACUGCAUUUACAAUUUUGUUUUUCUUCCCUCCUCACAGCUAACUCCACAGUUACUGAGUUUCCACUUUGUAAUUCUUUGCUCAUCAAAGAUCAUUCUUGGCUCAUCAAGGACAUUUGAUUCACUCUCACUCAUUACUAAUUUAAUUGACAAUGAUGCUGUUAUAAAUAUCAAAUUAUUCUUCAUGGAAUUAUCUGCUUUCCAAUGACUAAAUGUCACCAUUAAGUUUUAAAUCCACUUCCUUUAUAAAAAUGCCUUUAUGGAAUGAGUCACUUUUCUUUCAGUGUCUCUCAGAACUCUUAUCAGUCAUGAUUUUUAAAAAUAGUAUCAGUACAGAUCUUUUAAGUGUAAAAUUAUUUUAUUGGGUGUUUGAGUCUGAUCCAUCAUGCCCUUGAUCAGGGCUGUUAUUGCUGGUCCUGAGGCUUUAUUUACAAAGUAGUCAAUGAGGGAUUAAAUUUAAUUUAGAGCCAGUUUCUAAUCACUGAUUAUCAUAGUAAUAUAUUUUCUGCUAUGUGCAGUACUUCUAUAUAUUUCCAGAAUGCCAUAGUUUUGCUAUCUACUUUGUAGAAUUUACAACUCUUUUGGUUAUCCGAGGAGUAUUUUUUUAAGCUUUAAAUCAAGAUUAAAUCAGGGCCAGGCAUGGUGGCACAUGCCUGUAAUCCCAGCACUUGGGAGGCUGAGACAGAAAGAUCACUGAGAGUUCGAGGCCAGCCUGGGCUACAUAGUGAGUUCAAGGCCAGCCUGAACUGCAUAGUGAGACCCUGUCUCAAAAAAACAAAUAAUCAUAAUAAUAAGGGCAGGGGAUUUAGCUCAGUGGUUCUGCCUCCUGCCUCGCAAGCAGAAGGACCCAAGUUCGAUCCCCAGUACCAAAAAGAAAAAAUAAUAAUAAAUAAAAAUUACAACAUUCAAAAAGGCAACUCAGUACUGGUUUGUUGAAGAAUUUAGGCUGGCUUAAACAACACAGUGAGAUCCUGUCUCAAAAUAAAAGAUCAAAUCACUUGCCAAGCAUGGUGACUCAAUGCAUGUAAUCCCAGCACUCAUGAAGCUGAGACAGGAGGAUUGCCAUGAAUUCGAGGCUCAACAAACAAAAAUCAAAUCACUUACAUUUAAAAAAAAUACAUUUAUUUUUAAACAAAUAUGUACAUUAUGCCCUCUGGAAAGAGAAGGAAUCACUCAACUAAAUUCAAGGAGAUGUGGCAAUUUCUUUGUCUGCUUUUUUAAUGUUGCUUGCAUAGCUUACUUUAAAAAAAAAAAAAAAAGAGGAAAAGGAAAUAUCCAGAAAGGAGCAUUGAGGGAAGAAAGAAAUUCCUGUGAUGUCAAGCUCAUAUUCACGAAUUCUAACAAUCUAACUCAGUGCAUGUGCUGUCUGGUUCAAGUAGCUACAGGUCCCAGAGGAGUAGUAAGUGUACCUGUCACCUCUGGAGAACCCUUGCUACAUGUCACCCACUUCUUCUUCCUGUCCCUACCACUCAAUAAGUGACUUCUGUUUCACAUUAUCUGGAGUGUCUGGGGCCAACUUACAUAAAACAUCGUGGUUCGUAAUGAGAAACAUUUCAAACAUUUUGCCUUCCUAGUUAGCUUCCAGUGAGCAGCCAUGUCUGAAGAGCUGCUAUUUAAAGAGCUCUGUUUUCUUUACAGCCAGUUCUUAACCCUGGGACUAAAGCAUGUUUGGUUAAGGAUACUAAAUUGAGGGCUGGGGAUGUAGCUCAGUGGUUCUGCCACCUGCCUCACAAGUGCAAGGUCCUGAGUUCGAUCCCCAGUACCAAAAAAAAAAAAAUGCAAGAAUACUAAGUUGAGACAGGCUCCUUCAUUUACAAAAAAAGAAAAAAAGAGAGAGUGCAGAACAAGUUCUGCAAUGUUUUUUUAAUAAUUCAAACUGAAAGCAAAUGAAUGUUUCAUUUCUUUAGCCAACCAUGUGUUUCAUUUUAUUUAUUUUUCAAGUUAAUGCCAAGAAAAGUCAGUUCUUUACACAAACUGUUUGGAUGGAGUUCUUAGGAGUAAAGGAAAAUGGAUUAAAUAUUUGUUUUAAGGACAAUGAUAUUAUAGACUCAAGAAGAACAGAGGGCAGAGGAGAAUGGCAAAAUUUAAUCACUCAAACUUGAGGGAAGUAGCCUUGGUUUGAGAUAUUUGUACAGAGAGCUUUAGUAACAUUUACCUUUUAUACUUUCCUUCCCUGCCAACCCCUCAUCCCUCCCAUACCAGCAAUUGAACUCAGAACCUUGAGCUUGCCAGGCAGGCGAGGCACCACUGGGCUAAAUCCUCGACCUGAUACUUUCCUUCUUUGAAACCUGGUACUCUCAAAUCCAACUACUGUGUGUUGGGGGUGCUGGUGUUCAAACUCAGGCCCUCAAGUACACUAAGCAGGUGCUCUACCACUAAGCCAUGCCAGCCUCCAUUUAUUUUUGUCCUCAGCCUUGCACAACUAGGUAUUAAUGUCCCUCUGUAACCUUCCCUCCACUUUCUGGAAUACAUGGCUUCCUAGCUCUUCUGUUGUCUCCUCAUUUUAACCUCUUUUGCUCUUUCUUGCCCUUUGUCCUGAAGAGUACUGUUUAUUUGCUAAGCAGUGUUUACAGGGUGUCUCCAACGUCCCAAGCACACACAUUUGGGGUGGGGGGAGCACAGUACCAGGAACUAAAUCUGACCUACAUCUCCAGUGCUUUUUUAUUUUUUAUUUUGAGUCAAGGUUUUGCUAAGUUCCCCAUUGUUUGAUUUUGAGAUUCUCCUGCCUCAGCCUCCCAGAGCGUCAAGAUUACAGGCAUGCGCCACCACACCCAGCUCCAAGCACACUUCUUAGGACAGUCUCAGGCCUUUCUUUUCAUCUGCCCACUGUGGGCAGCCACUGUACUUACUGUCCGGUCCUGUUAGUUCUUAAUUCCUCUUGUCCUAUCCAGUCCCUCCUCAAAGGAUAAAGCAAGGAAUUCAUAACCAAUGAGAACAAACAAGAAAACCAGCCAAAGAAAAUGCUGUGUUUCUUUUCCCUUUCUUGCGUUUAGGAGGAAACUCAUGAUAUAUCUCCACAUCUGUGUUAUCUCACUUGGUUUAUAGAGUUUGUGAGAGAAAGAGAUUUGAUUUGUGGCUCUGCUUGUAUUGUCUGGGUGAUCUUGGACAAGUUACUUAACCAGAUGCCUUAACCAGAAAUCCUUUCUGGAGCGAGGCAGUAGUGUAAAUAAAUAAAGGACCUUGCCCAGGCUUCAUUUCCUAAUUAUAGAGGAAACAUAGCAUAAAGAUUGAAAGCACAGGCUCUAGACUUAAACAUACUUGGGUAAGAGUCCUGGACUUUCCACUGACUUGAUAUGUGGCCUCAGUUUCCUCAUUUGUGAAACAGAACCAUUAAUAUCAACUUCGUAAGAUUUGAAUGCGAUAAUGUAUAGAAUGAAAGCAUGCACAUGCUCGUGCAUGUGUGUGUGUGUGUGUGUGUGUGUUUUACUGGGGAUUGAACUCAGGUUUUCCUAUUUGUUCACAAUGAGCUACAUCCCCAGCCCUUUUUUCAUUUUGAGACAGGAUCUUCCUAAAUUGCUAAGUUGCCCAAGCUGGGCUUGAACUUGUGAUCCUCCUGCUGCAGCUUCCCAAAGUGCUGAGGUUACAGGCGUAUGCCACUACAGCACACUUAUUAUUAUUGCUGCAUAACAAAUUACUCUAAAACUUGGGGUUAUGACAUAACAACUAUUUUAUUUGCUUGUGAUUUCAUGUGCCAGGAAAUUGGAAAGUGCUCUGAUGGAUAGUGUUCUCUUGGGAUUUCUCAGGUGCCUGCAAUCAGACCUUGGCCGGGCUGCCGCUGCGUGAAGCUGUGGUGGGCUCACUCACAACAGGUGACUGGGAGCCCGAAGGUGACCCCCAGUUGUCACACACCUCUCAUGUGGUGCUGACUUUCCGCAGCGGAAGUGCCCAAGAGAAUGAGAGGGAAGCUGCAGAAGCCCCACACCAUCACUUCCCGUGGUCCAUGGGGACAGCAGUCACAGGUUCAUCCAGAUACAGGGGGGGAGGGGAAAAGUGUCAAAGAGUUUUCCAGGCACAUCUUAAACGCUCCAUAGUCAAGUUGAUAAAUUGUGGUGUACUCAGCAUGUGCUUCACAAAGAUUUUUCAUUUGUUUUCUGUGUUUUGGGGUGUUUUUUUUUUUUUGGUACCGGGGAUCGAACUCGGGUCCUUGAGCUUGAGCAGCAGGCGGGGAAACCACUGAGCUAAAUUCCCGGCCCCAAGAUUUUUCAUUUGACUUUGGAUGUAUUAAUGAUCUACAGAUCACAUUUUAAAACUUCUUUUGGUUUUUGUUGUUGUUGUUGUUGAUUGUUGUUUUGUCUUGUUUUGGAGACAGGUUAUCACUGUGUAGCCCAGGAUGACAUCGAACUCCCAGCGAUCCUCCUGCCCCAGCCCCCAGUGCUGGGAUUACAGGUGUGCACUACUAUGCCCCGCCUAAAAAAUCGCUAAGCCACAGUUAGAUGCCAGGCAGUGGGCGGCUGUGCCUUCAGCGCAUGCGCAUGCGCAUGCGCGUUGUCAGACCCCAGGGCCUCUUCCAUCCUUGUCAAGGAGUGCUGACUUUUCGGCCUUUCACGUCACACCCGAUUGUCUACGUGACAUAGUGUCUGCAUAUUCGAGGGACAUGGAGAAAUGGAGGUGGGAAAGGUGGCAUGGAAAUGUGAAAGCCUCAACUAUCACAGAGGGAAAUCAAUAGGUUAUAUUCAGAAUCAAUCAGCUGGGAAGUUUAUUUAGAAAAUGAUGAUAAAUGUUAGAAGGGAAAGCUAAAAGUUGAGGUGACUGCCUCUGCAAAGUAGAAAUGGGAGGUCUAUAGAGAUCAGGCUAGAGACUGACGGGUUUUUUUGUUUGUUUUUUUGGUACGAGGGAUCGAAUUCAGGACCUUGUGCUUUUGAGGCAGGCAGCAGAACCACUGAGCUAAAUCCCUGGCCUGGGACUGACAGUUUUUCAAAACAGGAAUCUUCAAGCAAUGUUACAUUUUAAUGAUAGUACAUGUAUUACAUGUAUGAAAAUAUAAAUCAAGUGAAAAUAUACAAAUAUAUUGCCCAUGGGGCUGGGGAUUUAGCUCAGUGGUUCUGGCUCCUGCCUUGCAAGUGCAAGAUCCCGAGUUCGAUGCCCGGUACCAAAAAAAAAAAAAAAGGAAUAUAUUGCCCAUGCAAUGUGAAUAUAUCUGGGGGAGGAGCUAUAAAGAUUGCAGUCAGAGCUGGGUGGGGUGGCGCACACCUGUAAUCCCAGCACUCUGGGAGGCUGAGGCAGGAGGGUUGCUGUGUGUUUGAGGCCAGCCUGGGCUACAUAGUGAGUUCAAGGCCAGCUUGAACUACAUAGAGAGACCUUGACUCAAAAAGAAAAAAAAAAGAAAGAAAAGAAAAGAAAGAAAGAAAGAAAGAGAAACUAUGUAGUGAGACCAUGUCUCAACAACAACAAAAGGGACCAAUAUAUUUUUUCUACUUUUAGUGCUUUCUCCAUCACAACUGUCAGCUUUCACUUUUGUUCUUUGCAGAUUAUUCAAAAUCACUCCGUGUUGGGGCUGGGGAUUUAGCUCAGUGGCGCCAUCCCUGCCUCACAAGUGCAAGGUCCUGAGUUUGAUCCCCAGUACCCCCCCCCAAAAAAAAUCACUCCAUGUUAUAAUCUCAUUUCCCAGCUAUAAACAUGACUUCAAGCUACAUUUUCUGGCCGAACUUGUCAUAUCAGUUACAUCCAUCUCACUGGGACUGCCUAAUCCAGUGUGGAAUGAUGGCUGAGGACUUGGAGCUCUGAAAUCCAGCACACCUGGUCUUAUGCUCGCUGGGCUGGCUGGGGUUGGAUGGCCAUGGGGAGGUUUAUCUCAAUGCCCCAGUUUCUCAUCUGCUCAUGGGGUAGUAAGAGUGCCAAUCUCACAGGUGCAAGGCUCAAAAAAGCUGAUUCUUGUCAGGUGUGGUGGCGCAUGCCUAUGACCCUAGCAUUGGAAAGGCUGAGGCAGGAGGAUUGCUGCAAGUUUGAGAACAGCCUAGGCUCCAUAGUGAGUUCAAGGCUUUUCAAAAAAACAAAACAAAAUGCACUUUUCCAGUUUAUCUUCUCAGAAAUACAACUGUAUGACAUUUUUUUAGCAGAGACAUUCCUGACUAUGCCUGCCUGCUCUUUAAUAACAGCAUGUAUUUGUUUGAAAGACUCUUUGGAAUAAUCACCUCUUAUUUUUUUAUUUUUUUAAAUUUGGGGGGCGGAUUUUUGAGACAGGAUCUCACUAUCUAAUUGAGGCUAGCCUUGAACUCUCUAUGUAGUCCAGGCUGACCUCGAACUCAUGGUGACCCUCCUGCCUCAGCCUCUGAGUGCUGGAAUUACAUGCAUAUGCUACUGUGCAAGGUCAGAAAAACACAUUUACAGGAUGCCUGUGUGAGACUCACUCACAAUAGGCCCUGGAGGUAUAAGAUGAAUAAGGCACAUUCCCUGACUCUGAGAGGCCUAAAACUAGAACAGGAAGGACAUAUAUAAUUUGACAAGUGAUAAAGACAGGAAGCCAGGCAUGGUGGUGCAUGCCUGUGAUCCCAGUAUCUGGGAGGCUGAGGCAGGGGGAUCACCACAAGUUCAAGGACAGCCUGGGUUACAUAACGAGCUCAGGGCCAGCCUGCACUACAUAGCAAGAUCCUGUCUCAAAAACAAACAAAACAAUAAACAAACAAAUACAAUAAAGGUAGGACAAAGAAUUUAAAGAAGGUUGUAGGGGCUGAGGAUGUAGCUCAGGGAUACAGGACUUGCCUAGCAAGGGUGAGGCUCUGGGUUUGAUCCCCAGUCCCGCAAAAGAAAAAUAAAUACAUAAAUAGAUGAAGAUUGUAGACUCUUUCUCCAGUGUCACAAAGGGACAAGGUCCCUCCUCAACAAUGAGCUAAAGACAUGAAAUCUGUCACCACAGUGGCAGGAAUGGGAGAGAUGAGCCAAGCUCAGUGUAGACUGUGCCAAGUAUCUCGAAAGCCCCUCCCAUACUGCGAAGGACACAGGGUAGUGACAGCACCGGGCUGGCAGGGGUGGGGGACAGGGACAGGAAAGUCUGAUAGGUAUCAGAGGAGCAAAGUAGUUGCAAAAUGAAGAAUUAAUGUUAUAAGAAGAGGCCUGGCCUUUGCCUUUGGCUACUGACAGGUGACCUCUAGGUUCCAGGAUGUCUCGCCUGAUAGGGGUGUUUUUGUUUGCCAGGGGCUUUGGCCUCUCUGAGAGUCUAACCUGUGAUUUAUGAUGGAGGCUUUGUGUCACGCCCAUCACUUCUGACCUUCAGAAGGGAUGAGAGAAGAAAAGUCAGCCACGUGGACAAUAGGUGAUCGAACUCCCAUAAAAGUCCUGGACACCAAAGGCCUGCAUGAGCUUCCUUGGUUGGCAAAAUCUGUGGCCAUCAGGACUCCAUAAUUCCAUGGGGAGAGGAUGAUUGCCAUGCCGAGAAUGCUCAGACACCUCCUGACCUCUGCCCUUGCAUCUCUUCCCUUGGCUGCUUUAAUUUGUGUGCUUUGCUUUAAUCACAUGGGAGGGCAGUCAUGGAACCUCUGGAUUAGUAGCCAGCUGUCUGAAGGGAAGGAGGUCCUGGGAACACCAGCUUGCCACUGGUGUCUGAAGUAAAGUUGGUUUUGUGGGGACCUGGGACUGGCCCCCGCAUCUGAAGUAUUAACCACACACCACAGGAGGAAGAAAUGGGAGGGGAGGAUUCCAGCCAGCUGCCUCCUGCCCUCCCUCCCCUCUUCUCGGUGGGGCCCUCCACCAACUGGGGCUGGGCCGAGGGGGCUGUGGAUUCAGCCCAGAUAGUUCGCUGUUCUCAAGGCAUAGAUGGAAGAUAUUUAGCACCUGGGCCCAGAUCCUUGCUCUGUCCCUACCAGCUGUGGUCUUCAGAGUGUCUUGUGAGACCAGUUUCCUCCAGUGAAGGACAGCGCAGGAAGUUUCUUGUGUGGCACUGCCUGCAAGGGAAGGGCUCAGUGGCCUCCAACAGGAGGGAUGGCGCCUCUGCCUCUGCUCCUCCUGGGCUCUAAGGACCCAACCCCGGGGACCCCACUCCCCCCAGUAUUCCAUGCUGACCACUGGGCCCAGCAAUUGUCACUGUGCUGGGAGCCCGACUUGUUUGCUUAACCCUGGGAUCUCCUAGGAAUGGCACUUUGCGGCUAUAAGUAACCAUGGCAACUGGCUGCUGCUACCUGAUAACUAAAGCGAGUUGGUAACAGCCUGAAUAAUGACAGGGAGAAAGGCUGAGAACAAAGGCUUUCAGAAGCCAGGUUAAGCAAAAUCCGUGGUCCAGACUUGGGUUGGAUGUUUCAGUCCCUCAAGAGUUAGCAACCAGCUCUACACUGGGGACCCUCUCUCUUGACCUCACUGCACACAGCAAUUGGCCUCACAGUAAAUAAGAGUCAGGAUCCUUGCCACUCCGCCUGCUGACUUCUAAUGAGCUACGUGGAGCCGGAGCCAUUUGUACUGAGAAGCUCUCAGACAGACCUAGGACUGUAGAGAAAAGGGGUGGGUUGGUAUGCUAGGCAAAAAUACCAUCAAGUGGGUGGUUGCAACAACAGAAAUGUAUGGUCUCAUAGUUUUGCAAGCCAGAAGUUUGAGAUCAAAGGCUCUGCAGCGGGCUGGGGAUGUCGCUAACUGGUAGAGUACUUGCCGAAUGUGUGUGAGAGGCCCUGGGUUCAAUCCCCAGUACCACAAAAACCACGGCAUCCAGAAGGGUGGGUUCUGUCUGAGGGCUGAGAAAAGGCAUCUGUUCCAUACCUGUACCCCAGAGCCCAGUGGUUGCUGGUAAUCUUUGGUGUUCCAUGGUUGGCAGGUAGAAUCACCAGCCUAGUCUCCACCUGCAUUUUCACAUGCUGUUCUCCUGGUUCCAAAUUUCCCUUUUUGAAAAAAAAUUAGUACAUAUUUACAGUACACAAUAAUUGUAUUCAUGGUAGGGAGUUGGUACAUGUACAUAGCACAUCUUAACAAAUGUCCCUUUGUAUAAAAAUAUCAGCCAUGUUGGGCAUAGUGGUGCAUGUCUGUAUUCCUGGCACUCUGGAAGGCUGAGGCAGGAGGAUCCCAAAUUCAAAUCCAGCCUGGGCUACUUAGUGACUUAGCAAAACCCUGUCUCAAAGUGAAAAAUAAAAAAAGGGGUAGGGACAUAGCUCAAUAUGAGGGUCCUGGGUUCAAUUCCCAGUACACACACACAAAAGAGUCAAAAGGAUUAGGGUCUCCUUAAUGACAGCAUUUUAACUAAUGACAUUUACAACAAACCUGUUUACAAAACAGUCCACAUUUUGGGGUACUGGAGCAUAGGAAUUUAACCUUAGUGGGGGGUGAGGAAGGUCCCCCACCACCAUCCCAAGCUCCCAGGGCACAGAAGGUGAGCUGCGUGGGUGCCCCCAUGGAAAUGAGAAAACCCAUAAACAAGCCUUAAAAACAGACUUCUGGAUCACCUACAGCAACCCCAAAGGGAAACGAGAUGGAACAAUCUGAUACUCAGCCACCUGGACUCUCUGAACUGGCAACAAAAGAGGAUCUGGGAAAAAUGAAAUCAGAAAUAAUUACUCAGAUAACAGCAAAGAAUUUGCUCAUGGUGCAAGACAUGAUUAAUAAAUCUAGAGAGAACACAGAUAAAAAAACAGAGGAUCUGAGGAAUAUGAUGGAAUCCCAACACAGGAAACAAAUGGAAUCCAUAAAACAGAUACAAACAGAUUUCCAAGAGACUAAAAACUCCAUCGAAAGUCUGCGCAGCAGAAUGAACCAAUGUGAAGAUAGAAUUUCAGAUAUAGAAGAUAAGAUUGCAAUUAGUGAGGAGGAAAAGAAAAAUUGCUUUAAAAUUGUAAGGGAACAUGAGAAAUCAAUCCAGCAGCUGCUAGACGAUGCAAAGAAGAAUAACAUAAGACUGAUUGGAGUCAAUGAAGAAAGAAGAGAGAGUGUAGAUGACAUAAAAAAACUUUUCACAGAAGUGAUGGCAGAAAACUUCCCAAGGAGGGGAAAAGAACUUGACAUACAGAUAAGUGAGGCAUAUAGGACUCCAGCUAGCCUCAAUCAAAAAAAUCUACACAUAGGCAUAUAAUAGUUAGGAUUCCAGAAAUCCAACAGAAGAAUAAAAUUCUACAAGCAGUGAGAGAAAAGAAACAAAUCACAUACAAAGGAAAGCCCAUCAGAAUCACAGCAGACUUCUCAAUGCAAACCCUCAAGGCAAGAAGAGCUUGAAGUGAUGUAUUUCAAGCCCUAAAGGAAAACAGCCUCCAACCCAGAUUGAUGUACCCUGCAAAACUAUCUUUCAAAAUUGAUGGAGAAAUAAGAUACUUUCACGAUAAAGAGCACCUCAGGAACUUCAUGAAUACCAAACCGGCACUCCAAAAAAUUUUAGACAAUACCCUAGGAAAAGACAAUGAGGAUCACAACCCCAGGAAACCCAGCAGAAUGAAUCCAUUGGGCGUGACAAAUUAAACCCAAAGGGGGAGAAUCCAACAAAAAGAAAAAGUCAUGACAAGGCUUUUAAAAUUUUUGACUUCAUCUCCCUAAUGAGUGUAUAAUUCAAUCUUAUUAUUGUACUGAUUAGUAUUUUUCUGAUUCUAGAGUUGCACACCAUUCCUUGUGCUAUACUGGCU